RNAcentral lists this ribosomal RNA (498 nucleotides) under uncultured bacterium. Its description in RNAcentral is "partial 16S ribosomal RNA". It matches the Rfam family "Bacterial small subunit ribosomal RNA", at positions 28 to 507 of the family's 1533-position model. The record is from RNAcentral.
GACGAACGCUGGCGGCAUGCCUAACACAUGCAAGUCGAACGGAGAUUAUUUCGGUAAUCUUAGUGGCGAACGGGUGAGUAACGCGUGGGCAACCUGCCCUCUAGAUGGGGACAACAUCCCGCAAGGGGUGCUAAUACCGAAUGUGACAGCAAUCUCGCAUGAGGAUGCUGUGAAAGAUGGCCUCUAUUUAUAAGCUAUCGCUAGAGGAUUGGCCUGCGUCUGAUUAGCUAGUUGGUGGGGUAACGGCCUACCAAGGCGAUGAUCAGUAGCCGGUCUGAGAGGAUGAACGGCCACAUUGGGACUGAGACACGGCCCAGACUCCUACGGGAGGCAGCAGUGGGGAAUCUUCCGCAAUGGGCGAAAGCCUGACGGAGCAAUGCCGCGUGAGUGAUGAAGGAAUUCGUUCCGUAAAGCUCUUUUGUUUAUGACGAAUGUGCAGAUUGUGAACAAUGAUCUGUAAUGACGGUAGUAAACGAAUAAGCCACGGCUAACUACGUG